This 440-nucleotide ribosomal RNA is filed under the name uncultured bacterium. RNAcentral's name for it is "partial 16S ribosomal RNA". It matches the Rfam family "Bacterial small subunit ribosomal RNA", at positions 338 to 795 of the family's 1533-position model. The record is from RNAcentral.
CCUACGGGAGGCAGCAGUGGGGAAUAUUGCACAAUGGGGGAAACCCUGAUGCAGCGACGCCGCGUGAGUGAAGAAGUAUUUCGGUAUGUAACGCUCUAUCAGCAGGGAAGAAAAUGACGGUACCUGAUUAAGAAGCCCCGGCUAACUACGUGCCAGCAGCCGCGGUAAUAAGUAGGGGGCAAGCGUUAUCCGGAUUUACUGGGUGUAAAGGGAGCGUAGACGGCAGCACAAGUCUGGAGUGAAAUGCAGGGGCUUAAACCCGGAACUGCUUUGGAAACUGUGCAGCUAGAGUGCAGGAGAGGUAAGUGGAAUUCGUAGUGUAGCGGUGAAAUGCGUAGAUAUUAGGAGGAACACCAGUGGCGAAGGCGGCUUACUGGACUGUAACUGACGUUGAGGCUCGAAAGCGUGGGGAGCAAACAGGAUUAGAUACCCUUGUAGUC